GUUGCUGGGUAUAGACCCGAAACCAGGCGAUCUAUCCAUGAGCAGGUUGAAGGUUGGGUAACACUAACUGGAGGACCGAACCCACUGUCGUUGAAAAGCCAGGGGAUGACUUGUGGAUAGGGGUGAAAGGCUAAUCAAGCCUGGUGAUAGCUGGUUCUCCCCGAAAGCUAUUUAGGUAGCGCCUCGGACGAAUACCAUAGGGGGUAGAGCACUGUUUCGGCUAGGGGGUCAUCCCGACUUACCAAACCGAUGCAAACUCCGAAUACCUAUGAGUACUAUCCGGGAGACAGACUGCGGGUGCUAACGUCCGUAGUCAAGAGGAAAACAAUCCAGACCGCCAGCUAAGGCCCCAAAAUCAUAGUUAAGUGGGAAACGAUGUGGGAAGGCAUAGACAGCUAGGAGGUUGGCUUAGAAGCAGCCACCCUUUAAAGAAAGCGUAAUAGCUCACUAGUCGAGUCGGCCUGCGCGGAAGAUGUAACGGGGCUAAAACUAUGUGCCGAAGCUGCGGAUUUGACAUUAGUCAAGUGGUAGGGGAGCGUUCUGUAAGCCGAUGAAGGUGUAUUGAGAAGUAUGCUGGAGGUAUCAGAAGUGCGAAUGCUGACGUGAGUAACGACAAAACGGGUGAAAAACCCGUUCGCCGAAAGACCAAGGGUUCCAGUCCAACGUUAAUCGGGGCUGGGUGAGUCGACCCCUAAGGCGAGGCCGAAAGGCGUAGUCGAUGGGAAAUUGGUUAAUAUUCCAAUACUUCUGUGUAAUGCGAUGAGAGGACGGAGAAGGUUAAGUCAGCCUGGCGUUGGUUGUCCAGGUGGAAGGAUGUAGGUAUGUAUCUUAGGCAAAUCCGGGGUACUCUAUACUGAGAUCCGAUAGCAAGCUGUACUUGUACAGUGAAGUGGCUGAUACCAUGCUUCCAGGAAAAGUCUCUAAGCUUCAGUUACACAGGAAUCGUACCCGAAACCGACACAGGUGGUCAGGUCGAGUAGACCAAGGCGCUUGAGAGAACUCUGCUGAAGGAACUAGGCAAAAUGGUACCGUAACUUCGGGAGAAGGUACGCUGUUGUUGGUGAUGGAACUUGCUUCCUGAGCUGACGACAGCCGCAGAAACCAGGCCGCUGCAACUGUUUAUUAAAAACAUAGCACUCUGCAAACACGAAAGUGGACGUAUAGGGUGUGAUGCCUGCCCGGUGCUGGAAGGUUAAUUGAUGGGGUUAGCGUAAGCGAAGCUCUUGAUCGAAGCCCCAGUAAACGGCGGCCGUAACUAUAACGGUCCUAAGGUAGCGAAAUUCCUUGUCGGGUAAGUUCCGACCUGCACGAAUGGCAUAAUGAUGGCGGCGCUGUCUCCAGCAGAGGCUCAGUGAAAUCGAAAUCGCUGUGAAGAUGCAGUGUACCCGCGGCUAGACGGAAAGACCCCGUGAACCUUUACUGCAGCUUGACACUGAACUUUGACCUUACUUGUGUAGGAUAGGUGGGAGGCUUUGAAGUUGGAACGCUAGUUCCAAUGGAGCCGUCCUUGAAAUACCACCCUGGUAAUGUUGAGGUUCUAACUCUGUCCCGUUAUCCGGGACGAGGACCGUGUCUGGUGGGUAGUUUGACUGGGGCGGUCUCCUCCUAAAGAGUAACGGAGGAGUACGAAGGUGCGCUCAGCGUGGUCGGAAAUCACGCGUAGAGUAUAAAGGCAAAAGCGCGCUUAACUGCGAGACCCACAAGUCGAGCAGGUACGAAAGUAGGUCUUAGUGAUCCGGUGGUUCUGUAUGGAAGGGCCAUCGCUCAACGGAUAAAAGGUACUCUGGGGAUAACAGGCUGAUACCGCCCAAGAGUUCAUAUCGACGGCGGUGUUUGGCACCUCGAUGUCGGCUCAUCUCAUCCUGGGGCUGAAGCAGGUCCCAAGGGUAUGGCUGUUCGCCAUUUAAAGAGGUACGCGAGCUGGGUUUAGAACGUCGUGAGACAGUUCGGUCCCUAUCUACCGUGGGCGCUGGAAAUUUGAGAGGAUCUGCUCCUAGUACGAGAGGACCAGAGUGGACGAACCUCUGGUGUACCGGUUGUGACGCCAGUCGCAUCGCCGGGUAGCUAUGUUCGGAAGGGAUAACCGCUGAAAGCAUCUAAGCGGGAAGCCUACCUCAAGAUAAGAUUUCCCUAGGAAUUUAUUCCUCUAAAGAGCCGUUCGAGACUAGGACGUUGAUAGGUUGGAUGUGGAAGCAUAGUGAUAUGUGAAGCUGACCAAUACUAAUUGCUCGUGAGGCUUGACUAUACAACACCCAAGCAGUUG
RNAcentral lists this ribosomal RNA (2263 nucleotides) under Acinetobacter pittii. Its description in RNAcentral is "bacterial LSU rRNA". It matches the Rfam family "Bacterial large subunit ribosomal RNA", at positions 699 to 2925 of the family's 2925-position model. The record is from RNAcentral. Lineage: Bacteria; Pseudomonadati; Pseudomonadota; Gammaproteobacteria; Moraxellales; Moraxellaceae.